This 374-nucleotide unclassified non-coding RNA is filed under the name Hevea brasiliensis (rubber tree). The record is from RNAcentral. Lineage: Eukaryota; Viridiplantae; Streptophyta; Magnoliopsida; Malpighiales; Euphorbiaceae.
CUCUCCUGGUGAUGCUCCUCAGGUUAGUAUUUGAUCAUUUUCUCUAUUCACACUUUACUCUUAACAAAAUGGAAAAAGAAAAUUUUUCAUUUUGGAUAUGGUACUGAGAAAACUUGCAUUUUAAAUAUGGUACCAAGGAAUAAUCUAUUAUGUUUUAUUGAUGGAGCUCUUGGAUAACCUAGAUUAUUUUAAGAUGCUUCUCAUUGUCGAUUGUAAGUGUAAGGUAAAUUGUGCCUAAUGUUGCAUGUUUUUUACUGUCUAUUAAAGUAUCUGUAUAACUUGCUUAAUGAAUGUCUGUUAGAUUACUUAAUUUUUAUCUUUCUUUUUAUUAGUUUAUCGUUCUGAUAUUGCCAGGCAGAGGAGGGUGAAGAAGA